CGCCGCGGUCACACAAGAGGCCCAAAUUAACAGAAAUUCGGCGUAAAGAGUGGUUACAUGCUAUCUCCACAACUAGGGCCAAAAUACAGCUGAGCUGUCAUAAGCUUAAACUGCACCUAAGACCCCCCUCAAGAUGACCCUAGCACACACGAUCCAUUAAACCCCACCAAAGCUAGGGCC
RNAcentral lists this ribosomal RNA (180 nucleotides) under Phalacrocorax carbo hanedae. RNAcentral describes it as "partial 12S rRNA". Lineage: Eukaryota; Metazoa; Chordata; Aves; Suliformes; Phalacrocoracidae. The record is from RNAcentral.